Molecule: long non-coding RNA, 405 nt
Organism: Myotis brandtii (Brandt's bat)
Lineage: Eukaryota; Metazoa; Chordata; Mammalia; Chiroptera; Vespertilionidae
Exons: 3
Source: RefSeq, a predicted model, not a curated record
CAAGGAACCAAGAAAGAAAUCACCCUUGCAUCCUGCUCAGGAAAACAACCCUAAUCAACUCACAUGACUGAGCCAUCACAAUACUUGUGAAGAUAUGUGCUCCAAAUGCCGAGCAGCUGCACAGGGUUAAUCACUUGAAAAGUAGCCCAACAGCAGAGAAGAGAAAUGUGCUGGAGGGAAGUGCCAGGAGAGCCUGGGACUCACCUAGUUUGGUUUGCUGAUGCAGACCAAGCAACUGCUGUAAAAGAGCCGAGAUGCAAACACAGCUGCGGGGACGUGAGUGAAUCUGCCAGGAUGCCACCAACAAGCGGUGCAGACAUGCGCUUUCCUGGCACGGCCCCUCUGCAUGAAAUUUGUGAUGAAAUGAGGGAAAGGGUGGGGAUGUUUCGUAAUGUAUUUGAAAAA